CGAGCGUUACCCGGAUUUACUGGGCGUAAAGCGCGUGUAGGCGGUCUUUCAAGUCCGAUGCUAAAGACUGGGGCUCAACCCCAGGGGUGCGUUGGAUACUGUGAGGCUAGACGGUCGGAGGGGGUAGCGGAAUUUCCGGAGUAGCGGUGAAAUGCGCAGAUACCGGAAGGAACGCCAAUAGCGAAGGCAGCUACCUGGACGACUCGUGACGCUGAGGCGCGAAAGCGUGGGGAGCAAACCGGAUUAGAUACCCGGGUAGUCCACGCCCUAAACCAUGAGUGCUGGGUGUCCGGCUUCUGCUGGGUGCCGUAGCUAACGCGCUAAGCACUCCGCCUGGGAAGUACGCACGCAAGUGUGAAACUCAAAGGAAUUGACGGGGGCCCGCACAAGCGGUGGAGCAUGUGGUUUAAUUCGAAGCGACGCGAAGAACCUUACCAGGCCUUGACAUGCCCGGAACCCCUCUGAAAGGAGGGGGUGCCCGCAAGGGAGCCGGGACACAGGUGCUGCAUGGCCGUCGUCAGCUCGUGUCGUGAGAUGUUGGGUUAAGUCCCGCAACGAGCGCAACCCCUAUCCCUAGUUGCCAGCAGUUUGGCUGGGCACUCUAUGGAGACUGCCUGCGAAAGCAGGAGGAAGGCGGGGAUGACGUCUGGUCCGCAUGGCCCUUACGGCCUGGGCGACACACGUGCUACAAUGCCAAGGACAGAGCGCUGCUACCUCGCGAGAGGACGCCAAUCGCAAAAACCUUGGCUCAGUUCGGAUUGGAGUCUGCAACUCGACUCCAUGAAGCCGGAAUCGCUAGU
This 800-nucleotide ribosomal RNA is filed under the name uncultured Thermaceae bacterium. RNAcentral describes it as "bacterial SSU rRNA". It matches the Rfam family "Bacterial small subunit ribosomal RNA", at positions 535 to 1339 of the family's 1533-position model. Lineage: Bacteria; Thermotogati; Deinococcota; Deinococci; Thermales; Thermaceae. The record is from RNAcentral.